Molecule: long non-coding RNA, 442 nt
Organism: Vigna angularis (adzuki bean)
Lineage: Eukaryota; Viridiplantae; Streptophyta; Magnoliopsida; Fabales; Fabaceae
Exons: 3
Source: RefSeq, a predicted model, not a curated record
AAAUGGAACAGAGAAGGGGUUACGGUCAUAGGGGUAUUUUGGGCUUUCCAAAUUAAAUUUUGACAAAAUUUGGGUUUCGCGGUUUAGGGUGCCAAAGACGUUCGUUCAAGCCUUCCUUCUUCUCGUUCGUUCAAGCCUUCCUUCUUCUCGUUCGUUCAAGCCUUCUCUGUCGUCCGUCUUCUCUCUCGGUGUGUCGUCCGUCUUCGAAGCUUCUCUUGCCGUGUUCGAAGCUUCCAUCCUCGGUUUCGUUCUCUCCUCCUUCUUCAAAACGUGCGUUGAAACCCUUACAUUUUGGUGGCCGUUGCAAUGGAAGGGAAAAAAGCAAGUUGGCGACUUCUUAUCUCGAUGGAUUCAUCGAUCAUUAUUGAAAUGAAUCGUUUACUCCGACAGUGUCAUGUGGAUCGGAUUAGGAUGACACCAUUUAUGUGGUGUGUGAAUAUUA